CCUAAGAUAGUGCCUUGAGCUCAGAAGUGGGGGAUAAAUGUUAUGGAGUCAUGCCACCUAACUCGACGUCCUCGAAACUCAUUCUCGAAAAUCUCGAGCUGAUGGAAACACUGAUGUGAGCCUUAAUGACAAGCACCAUUAAAUCCAUCAUAGAGUGCUGAGAUGAGGCAAUCUUAUUGGCUUCUAUCUGACCCUUAGCUUCGGCACCACCGACCUUCGGAUUGAUAUCUCACCAACAACAGGAAUGAAGUCUUGUGAUCAAUGAUGAUACGGACUCCCACCAACCUCCAAGUCGGAAUUCCAUCGACCACAAAGGAUAAGAUCCCACGAUCUGUCUUGAUGCGAAUCUGAUUAGGACGGCACCUCGAUCGUGGCCAACCUCAGUCCACUAACCGAUUAGGCCACGUGGAUAAUUAGUUGGAAUCUUCCAAUAAACUCUCGAAAUGUGGCCACAUCAUAUAACAAACACCCACAACUAACAAACUAGUUAGUCGGUGGACUCUCUAUCCUAAUAACCUAUGGGUUAGGCAUAACAAACUUUGACACCUUUCUAUAUAAAGGUAAUAAAUAAAUCCCAAAUGGUAUGCAUAC
This 591-nucleotide long non-coding RNA is filed under the name Elaeis guineensis (African oil palm). RNAcentral's name for it is "long non-coding RNA (EGUI_LNC028374)". The record is from RNAcentral. Lineage: Eukaryota; Viridiplantae; Streptophyta; Magnoliopsida; Arecales; Arecaceae.